This 406-nucleotide long non-coding RNA is filed under the name Anser brachyrhynchus (Pink-footed goose). RNAcentral's name for it is "lncRNA (ENSABRG00000013798.1)". The record is from RNAcentral. Lineage: Eukaryota; Metazoa; Chordata; Aves; Anseriformes; Anatidae.
UUAGAACUCCAUUACAUUACACUUCCUAUGGCCCUGAGAGACUGAUAUGACGGCCAGGAAUAGCUGCAAUAGAGCAGUACUCUGGCCAUAUUUCCUCAGCCUCUCUCAUACUGGGAACUACAGAAGGAGAGGUACUGAAGUAUUGCAUAGGUCCCAUGCUGCCCGGUGAAGCCAGCUGCUCCAGUAGAGCCCUCCAUCCUGCAUGCAUGGGUGAUUUACACCACCAGAAAUUGUUAGUAGACUAAGAGCCAUGUGCAUACUGCAAAGAGCAAGAGGAGGAUUCUUGCCUCUCCAGCCAGCUGAUACUCAGACCAUUUAUAAAUGGAAACUUUUUCUUCUUGGUCAACGUGGUAGCAACUUUUCAGAACAUCAUGGAGAUCUACGAAGUAACUGCAGAUUAAUGUGA